Molecule: ribosomal RNA, 442 nt
Filed under: uncultured bacterium
Lineage: Bacteria
Description: partial 16S ribosomal RNA
Rfam family: Bacterial small subunit ribosomal RNA
Source: RNAcentral
CCUACGGGAGGCAGCAGUGGGGAAUAUUGGUCAAUGGGCGCAAGCCUGACCCAGCAACGCCGCGUGAAGGAAGAAGGCUUUCGGGUUGUAAACUUCUUUUAAUGGGGACGAACAAAUGACGGUACCCCUUGAAUAAGCCACGGCUAACUACGUGCCAGCAGCCGCGGUAGUACGUAGGUGGCAAGCGUUAUCCGGAUUUAUUGGGUGUAAAGGGCGUGUAGGCGGGAGCGUAAGUCAGAUGUGAAAGCUCAGGUCUCAACCCUGAGCCUGCAUUUGAAACUGUGUUUCUUGAGUGCUGGAGAGGCAAUCGGGAUUCCGGGGGUAGCGGUGAAAUGCGUAGAUAUCAGGAGGAACACCAGUGGCGAAGGCGGAUUGCUGGACAGUCACUGACGCUGAGGCGCGAAAGCGUGGGGAGCAAACAGGAUUAGAUACCCCUGUAGUC